UACGUAGGGGGCAAGCGUUGUCCGGAUUUAUUGGGCGUAAAGCGCGUGUAGGCGGCCAGAUAGGUCUGCUGUGAAAACUCGAGGCUCAACCUCGAGCUGUCGGCGGAAACCAUCCGGCUAGAGUCCGGAAGAGGAGAGUGGAAUUCCCGGUGUAGUGGUGAAAUGCGCAGAUAUCGGGAGGAACACCAAUAGCGAAGGCAGCUCGCUGGGACGUUACUGACACUGAGGCGCGAAAGCGUGGGGAGCGAACAGG
This 253-nucleotide ribosomal RNA is filed under the name uncultured bacterium. RNAcentral describes it as "partial 16S ribosomal RNA". It matches the Rfam family "Bacterial small subunit ribosomal RNA", at positions 524 to 776 of the family's 1533-position model. The record is from RNAcentral.